AACGAACGCUGGCGGCAUGCCUAACACAUGCAAGUCGAACGAGACCUUCGGGUCUAGUUGCGCACGGGUGCGUAACGCGUGGGAACCUGCCCUUAGGUUCGGAAUAACUCCCCGAAAGGGGUGCUAAUACCGGAUAAUGUCUUCGGACCAAAGAUUUAUCGCCUUUGGAUGGGCCCGCGUUGGAUUAGCUAGUUGGUAGGGUAAAAGCCUACCAAGGCGACGAUCCAUAGCUGGUCUGAGAGGAUGAUCAGCCACACUGGGACUGAGACACGGCCCAGACUCCUACGGGAGGCAGCAGUGGGGAAUAUUGGACAAUGGGCGAAAGUCUGAUCCAGCAAUGUCGCGUGAGUGAUGAAGGCCGUAGGGUUGUAAAGCUCUUUUACCCGGGACGAUAAUGACAGUACCGGGAGAAUAAGCUCCGGCUAACUCCGUG
RNAcentral lists this ribosomal RNA (433 nucleotides) under uncultured bacterium. RNAcentral's name for it is "partial 16S ribosomal RNA". It matches the Rfam family "Bacterial small subunit ribosomal RNA", at positions 29 to 507 of the family's 1533-position model. The record is from RNAcentral.